This is an RNA transcript of Anastrepha ludens (Mexican fruit fly), 6871 nucleotides long. RefSeq lists it as uncharacterized. Lineage: Eukaryota; Metazoa; Arthropoda; Insecta; Diptera; Tephritidae. The transcript has 10 exons. The record is from RefSeq and is a predicted model, not a curated record.
CUGGCAAUAUUUUUCGGUGACUAGCCAAUGAAGCAAAAACCAAACAAAGAACUUUUAUAAAAAUGCCUUGUUUGUAGAACUUACUUUCAUGACUUCUUAAAAAUUGUUCGAUUUUCCCAAGAAAAUAUUACAGUAUAAAAAAGGUCGAAGAGUUAAAGUGUUAAUCAGGAAGUUUUGGCUAAAAGCGGCUGCUGGGCAGAGGCACUCUAACAAGGAAAAUUUCGCUCAAGUGUAGAUGACACCGGUGAUAUGUCCGUUUCAUCUGAUUAUUGGUGUGAUUUGACAUUGGACGAUGACGAGCAGCAUAACAUAUUGGCUGCAUCAUUGUCAUCUCAAAAUAAAUCACAACUCUGCACCGGUGAACAGCACGCCGGCUUCGACAACAAUGUAGGCGAUACGUGGUUAUACCCCAGCAAUUUGCCACUACGUGCAUAUCAGUUAAGUAUAGUAAAGGUCUCACUAUUCAACAACACACUAGUCGUAUUGCCCACCGGACUUGGUAAAACUUUCUUAGCAGCGGUUGUUAUGUACAAUAUUUACCGGUGGUAUCCGACCAGUAAGAUCAUUUUUAUGGCACCUACUCGUCCUCUAGUGGCUCAGCAAAUUAAGGCCUGUCAAAGAGUAAUGCCUUUUGCUGACGAAGAUACAGUCGAGUUAACGGGCAGAUUGCCGCGCUGCCGCCGUAAAGAGUUGUGGAGUGAAAAACGUGUUUUCUUUGCUACACCACAGGUGGUACAAUCGGAUAUUAAUGGAGUAGAUGAAUCUAGUACCCGUCGGAAAGAUCUUAAUUUUCCUUUUGACCAAGUGAAACUUAUUGUAGUUGAUGAAGCGCACCGUGCUAAGGGACGAUACGCGUACAUUGAAGUUGUUCAGGCUAUAAAGCAACGCAAUAACUACUUUAGAGUUUUAGCGCUAUCUGCUACACCGGGGCGUACCAUUGAGGACGUCGCAGAAGUAGUGUAUAAUCUCUUAAUUUCUCACAUUGAAGUUCGUUGUGAUACGUCGGUCGAUGUGCUGCCUUAUGUUCACAAGCGUCAUAUGAAAAAAGUUGUUGUACCGCUUGGCGAAGAUUUAAAGGCAUUGCGUGACGAAGUGUUACUGAUAAUAGAUCCAUACCUUCGGCAGCUAGUCGAUGCGAAAGUGUUAGGUGGGUCGCUAGCGAACAUUACACGUAAUUUUCUAUUGUUCGAGCAGAAACGAUUUCGUGAGCAAAGUCGAAGCAAACAGCAUCCAGAGCAAAAGGCUGUUUCAAUAAAUUUUUCGUUUUGUAUUAGUAUGUAUCACGCCCUUGAAUUGUUAGAACGACACGGCAUGCGCGUGUUCCUGAAUUAUUUCGAAGAAGAUGAAGAAGGGCGAAAUAAGUUUGUAGUAUAUAUGGAACCUCGAAUACGUCAUUUGUUAGAUCGAUUGCGUGACAAAUUGGGCCCGAAUCCUUUCGAAUUUUCAACACACCCAAUGACAAAUGGGCAAAUCGCUAAAUUGCCCGAUAAUCUGGACUUUGGUCAUCCGAAGUUUGAAGAAGCCCGAAUUUGUUUACUUGAACAUUUUCAGGCUCAUCCAGAUUCCCGUGCCAUAGUUUUUUGCGAAUAUAGAGAAUCUGUAAUGCUGAUAUAUCGCUUGUUACUGCAACAUGUGCCAUUGUUAAAGCCACGUUAUUUUGUAGGUCAGGGCGCAACUACUGGUUCUUUGCGCCCUCUUACACAAAAGGAGCAGAUACAAAUUAUGCAAGAUUUUCGUAGCGGUAAAAAUAACAUACUUGUAGCAACAUCUAUCGGCGAAGAAGGCAUUGAUGUUGGGGAGGUGGAACUGAUUGUGUGCUUCGACAUUAACACUUCUAAUCCUCAACGUUUCGUUCAACGAAUUGGUAGAACAGGGCGACAAAAACAGGGUAAUGUUGUGAUAUUGGUUACCGAAGGACGGGAACAGCAAAUCCUGAAGAGUGUGCUUGAGCAAAAGGAUCAAACUAAUGCAAAAAUACUUCAGUCAAUGGUAGUACGUAAUUCAUUAUAUAAGAAUUCGCCCCGGCUUGUACCCACCGAGUUAGAUCCAAAAGUAAUUCAUGUCUUUAUAAAACCUGUACCAAAUGAAAAAGGCAUUGAUGUAAAAUGUAAAAAUGAUAAUGAACGCAAAACUAGAAAAAUUAAGCAAAAAACGAAAGACAAUUACAGUAAAAAAAAUCAAGAUCUACGAACCUAUUUCAAGCAGCAAUCGACCCAAAAUCCUAGUUUACUAUUGGCAAGCCCACCUCCACCUGAUUUAGAGACGCAGCAAAGUGUCGAAAAAUGUUUAAACAAAAUAGAUGAAUAUUUUAAAGCCUUCGAAGCUCCAGUGACAACAAAUACACAAUUGUGUGCGUCAAAUCCAUUUACUCAAAAACCACCUAUAACUCAGUUUAAUCGAAAUGUAAUAUUGAACUCCCAACGUUUUCGCAACCUACAUAAACUAAUGCAGAAAAAUACACCUUUAUUACGGGCCAAGGACGUAAUUACCGACCCAGUAGAGCAAAUAAAAUCGCCAAAGGUAUCUAAUGAUGGAAAACGUUUCAUUUUGCGUGCCCAACCAUCUAUAGUGAGUGAUUCUUUAGAGAAAAUGAAGGUUUUGGAGUUAUUGGCCUCAGAACACGACGAAAUGUCCGCGGAGGAAAAACAUGUUAGAGAGUUGUAUAGCAUAAUUGAAAAACUUUUAGGUGGCACGCGACUAGCGGUAGAAAUAUUCGUUGAUGAUGCAGAGAUAGAAGAGAUGGUUAAGAAACGCUGUGAAAUACCUUCCAGCGUUCUUGAUGUAAGCGCCAGUGAAUAUAAUGAGACCUGCGAUGCAAUAUUCAACGGAUUAGAGCCACAGGGAAUUCUGUGUGAUAAUUUUGAAUUUAUUCAAAAAGAAAUAGAAAAAAUAGAAUUUUAUAAAGCGCCAUAUCUUGAACCGGUAGAAGAUAAUAAUAUACCUAUUCCAUACUCGCCAUUAAAAAAUGAUGCCGAAUCAAUGAUAUAUGAAACUGUUAGAGAAAAUUAUCAAAACACCAAUAUUUCUGACAUCACUAUGGAUUCUGAAACCAUUUUCCAAAGCAACUGCCAUUGGGGUGACUUCGCAAAGAAUGCCCCAUUGGCUAGCAAAUCUACCCCUUUGCAAGGACCGCUAGUAAAAGCAUUCCAGCGUCAAGUUGGAAAAUCUGAAGAAAAAAACCACUCGAAGGGUGGUAGUUUACUAAAGAGGCUGGAAAAAAGUUUUAGUGGGUCAAAUGAAAGUGCAGAAGAUGAUUUGGACGUGAUAUUUGUUUCUGAAACAGAAGACCUAACGAAUACCAAAGCUUUGUUAACUGACAGAGUACUUGAAGAAGUAAGUACUUAUACCGGGGAAAUAUCCGUACCCGAUACACUUUCUGAUGAAAAACCCGUUGUUGAUACGCAGAAUUCGUCCAAACAAACCCUUCCAUCAACAAAUUCUUACCUAUGUGAAUUAGAUGUAGACAUAGAAGCGUUUCUGGAACCAUUUCCUGAAGAAACUCAAAAGGAUAAUACUGCUGAAACUGCAAUUGUCUUCACUAAGAAAAUUAAAAUCGAUAAUGAAAGAAUUUCUCUUGGUCGAUCAGCGAACAUUAAAUUGGCACAUCGCGCAAGUCAAAAAGAAAAUGAGAAUACUUCGAAUUUGAUAAAGACUCUGAAGGCAGUGAAGAAGUUUUCAAAUCCAUCAGCUACAAGUGCAAAACCUAAUUUAAGCGAAUCGAAUUCCAACAUAUCGGCAAUACCACAAGUGAAACUACCGAUUCAAACAGAGCAAUAUGAAAAAUCUCCAAACAUGUUAGAAAUGUACGUGGAAAAUGCAGCAGCUAAAAGUUGUAAUGAAGAAAAUUCACUUAUCCCACAUAACACAUCUAAAAGUAAAUCGUUUUCCUUCAGUGGAUUGGACAUGAAAGCUAAUGAAGGGUCAGAAAUGGAGUGCGACGAAUUUAAAGAAACUCAAAUCCUCAACGAUUGUAAAACCGUUCAGUCAAAAGUCUGUAAAAUAGUUUCAUUAUGUAAUGAGGACAUUGUUUCCAAUUCGAAACAAAAAAUCGAUGAUGAUGAAAUUCCAAACCCUAAUUCACCGCUUUACUCAAGUCAAAAUGAAUGCAACAGUACCUCGAACUUAUUAACAACUCUUUCAAAUACAUCAUCAAUGCUAAAUAACAAGCAUAAUUUGACAGUAUUGGAUUCAAAUAGACCUGAAACACCACCAGGAAAGCUUCUAACUGAACCGGAACAUUGUCAAAGAUCACCAAAUCUGUACGAAAUGUACUUGCAAAAUGUACGAAAACGUAGCAACUUGCCGGAACAUAUAAAGCAGAGCGUGACUUUCGCCAAAAAUCAACUUCUUAAAGCAUUAUCCUCAUCCGUCGCUAACAAUGUGAACCCAGUACAAAUCUGUGACGAUGAUACAUUAAUCAUUCCAUUGAAGGCAAUGAAACGUAAAUUAAUUUCAUCAAGUGAUUCCAGCGAGGUAGACCUGAAAGCUGAUGGAGGAUUAGAAACGGAUUGCGAAGAAUUUAAAGACACUCAAAUCCUCAACGAUUCUGCAUUUACUCCGUCAAAAGUUCACAAAAGAAUUCCAUUCGGUGAAGCUGGUAUUGUUUCUACUUCGCAGACGAAUUUCGAUGAUGAUAUAAUUUUAAACCCUACUUCACCUAUCCACUCGAAUCAAAAAGAAAAUGAAAAUAUUUCAACGGUAUUAAAUUCCAAAAAACUCAUAAAACCAAUUCAACUUGAAUACCAUCAAAGAGAAAAUCGUAUGAAUUUUUCGAAAUAUGUGUACAAAAGCGCAGAGAAUCAACUUUUCAGAGCAUUGCCCUCAUCCGACGCUAACCAUAUCAACUCAGUUUGUAACGAAGAAAAGUCAUUAAUUAUUUCAUCUAAGACAUCCAAACGUAAAAUAAUUUCCUCCAGUGAUUCCAGCGAGUCAAUAAAGGCGGAAACGGAAUGUAAAGAAACACAAAUCCCCAUGCGUAUAAUAGACUCGAAUUCAAGUGCCAAAGAUUCUGAAACAGAUCCAUCUAACACCCGUAAUAAUAUUUCCUCGUGUGAAACGGAUGGCGAAGAGAUCGCUGAAACCCAAAAACCCAUUCGCCGUAGGCGCCUGCAACGACAAAGUCGUCGUUUGCAUGACUUCGUUGAUACUCAAGCUAUAUUUAGCAGGGAUGACGAAAGUGAAGAAUACAGCCAAAUGCCAUGUAGCCAAUAUGUUAAAGAUUCCAUGAUUGUGUCUAGUGAUGAAGCCGAGACGUUUGACGAAAAUGCAGCCACAUCAACACAGAUGCAAGCGUACUAUCUUCAAUCGGUUAAAAGUCCAAAACAUUUACCGCGUGGCGCUUUCAAAAUUCCCGCCUUUCGCGAGUUUAAUGAUCAAAGUCAAAUAUAUUCACAAGCUGCGCCUUUAGAAGAAUCUCAAUACGUUUGCGAUUCUUUUGUAGUAAAUGAAGAUGAUGAAGGAUCAAUAGAGUUACAUGACCAAACUGUAUGCCCACUGGAACGAGCUGAGCGCAUUUUAAAGGAACGGAGACGUAGAAGUAAGGAAUUCAAAUCAGUUGCUAAGAUUCAGCGGCGACGGCGCAUUGUCAAACCGGCAGAGAGUUCUGAAGAUGAGGACUAACACUCAAAAUUAUUAAUCACUAACAUGAAGUAUUUUCGUGGUAUUCAGUGGUGAUACAGUGAUUUUUGUUUUUGAGUGCGUAAAUCUUUGGAAAUUAGAACUCGAUUUAAUUGUAAAUGCCUAUAUAUGUAUGUGUACUUGUAUACACUUUGGUAUUAUUUUAUUGUUCACGCCUCACACACAGUGCCGGGAGGCAUAGCGGAUGAACAGACAAAUGUUUGCGGUUGUUUCCUAUAUUAAGUAACUUCGUUUCGGGGAACUGCAGUCACUGGCAAUUGGUUUGAAGGUGGUGCUGUGCCGUUGUUUGUACAGAUUACGUGGUUGAAUAUAUAUCUCUUUUAAAUCUUCAGAAAAUAUGCUAUCCUCAUUGCCUCCGAAAGUGGCAUUUACCGUCCGCAACUCCAUAUCCUUCUUGUAAAUAUUCUCCACCAAGGUUUGGCGCCUUUUAUCGCGCACAUUUCGCAACUCUGCUGAUUUCUCUACCAUAAAAUGUUUGCUACCUAUUUUUGUGCAAUUCACAAUUAUGGAUAGCAAUACACAAAAUUCCACAAUGGCAACAAUAAGACUGGCGCACAAAAACAGCACAUAUUGCUCGCGAUACCAGUUGUCCAAAUAAGUGAGGCAAGGCGCUGUAUGGCGAUGUUCGACAAAAUCAGAUUUCUGUAACAUUUGACACUGUGAUUCAUUCACUGGCUUUGGAUCCAAGUAGGACAUCUUCUCAUUGGCAUUUGUCAAGAUGCAACAGGUGAGUGGUACUACCCACUCACGUUGACCAUAUCGUUGCAACUUCCAGAGAGAGGUAUCAUAAUUGAUGUCGCUAUUCAUUCCGCAGCAACCGAAACGUGCUUGUGCCAAGUCCAUGGCAAUGGUGAACUGUUCUUUACCGGGAACACCAUAGUUGCCCUGCAGGGUCUUUACCAUUUUAGACUCAUCCAAGCUGAUGCCCAGGCAGUGGGGCCACAAAGUGAUGGCCAGGCAGACCAUUGACUCGGCUAAGAGCAAGACGACCACAGCGAGGAAAUAUAAACUGAGACAACAGUAAGUGUGUAGACAGGACGCCCAAAAGCCGGUUAUAGCGGCGAGCACUGCCACCAAGCCGGCCACAGUCAGACCAACCGAGAUGUAGUAGAACAAGGGCUGAGGUAAGUUGUUGAGUUUCUCACUAGUGGCAGCCAACAAGCGGGAAAGUAGGAUGCGCUUGGAAUCGGUGAACAAAUAGAAACCGGAAACGAUGAGCGUCAUUCCACAGAGC